This 87-nucleotide ribosomal RNA is filed under the name Russula fellea. Its description in RNAcentral is "partial 28S ribosomal RNA". It matches the Rfam family "Eukaryotic large subunit ribosomal RNA", at positions 50 to 136 of the family's 3401-position model. Lineage: Eukaryota; Fungi; Basidiomycota; Agaricomycetes; Russulales; Russulaceae. The record is from RNAcentral.
GCGGAGGAAAAGAAACUAACAAGGAUUCCCCUAGUAACUGCGAGUGAAGCGGGAAAGCUCAAAUUUAAAAUCUGGUGGCCUUUGGCC